RNAcentral lists this RNase P RNA (364 nucleotides) under Candidatus Latescibacterota bacterium. RNAcentral describes it as "Candidatus Latescibacteria bacterium RNase P RNA component class A". It matches the Rfam family "Bacterial RNase P class A". From Rfam's summary of the family: Ribonuclease P (RNase P) is a ubiquitous endoribonuclease, found in archaea, bacteria and eukarya as well as chloroplasts and mitochondria. Its best characterised activity is the generation of mature 5'-ends of tRNAs by cleaving the 5'-leader elements of precursor-tRNAs. Lineage: Bacteria; Pseudomonadati; Candidatus Latescibacterota. The record is from RNAcentral.
GGAGCGGGGCGGAUGGCCGCGCCCGCGGAUGCGGGUGAGGAAAGUCCGGGCUCCACAGGGCAGGAUGCUGGGUAACGCCCAGGCGGGGAAACCCGACGGAAAGUGCCACAGAAAAUAGACCGCCAGCGGCCCCUUAUGGGGUGCGGGCAAGGGUGAAAAGGUGGGGUAAGAGCCCACCGCACCUCCGGCGACGGAGGUGGCACGGCAAACCCCAUCCGGAGCAAGGCCAAAUAGGGAGGCGCUUGAGGGUGGCCCGCCCGAUGCCUCCGGGUAGGCCGCAGGAGGCGUCCGGUAACGGACGUCCCAGACCGAUGGCCAUCGGCCCUUAGGGCUACAGAACCCGGCUUAUAGCCCCGCUCCCCUC